CUCACUCAGAUUCUUCCCUUGAGAGGGGCUUCCCUGGACUCUGCAUAGUGGUAGCUUGGCUCUCAUACAUGGACCACUGUAUAGCUGGCUGCAGUCACACAGCUGGAGCUGUGGUUGUUAGUGGGGAGCUAAGUGCGACUCACACCUACUAUUGGUUUAGUUGACUCAUUCUUGAUUGCACGCACUCAUGUUCUGUCACUGUGUUUCAUUGCAGGCAUCCCAACAUGCUAUAGACACUGGAAACCCCCCUCCUGGACAUCACAUCCAUCUGGGAGGAGAGGUCUUGUCUACACCGGUUGAGAUUCACCGUCUUUGUGCUGAGGCAAGAAAGAAGCCCAUGCCUGGCUCAAGCCAAGCACCAUCACGUAAGAUGCUGACAUGGAGAGCCAAGCAUACUCCUGCCCUAUGGAGGAAGAUCGUGGCAAAACAAGAGGCUGCAUCCAAGGAUGGCCAGGCAGCUGCAUCAACCCCUUCCCAAGGACCUUG
Molecule: long non-coding RNA, 486 nt
Filed under: Crocodylus porosus (Australian saltwater crocodile)
Lineage: Eukaryota; Metazoa; Chordata; Crocodylia; Crocodylidae
Description: lncRNA (ENSCPRG00005002320.1)
Source: RNAcentral